CCCUUAGAUGUUCUGGGCUGCACGCGCGCUACACUGUUGCAUUCAGCGAGUUUUAACCAAGGCCGAAAGGUCAAGGUAAUCUUUGAAAGUGCAACGUGCUUGGGCUAGAUGAUUGCAAUUAUUAAUCUUCAACGAGGAAUGCCUAGUAGGCGCAAGUCAUCAGCUUGCGUCGAUUACGUCCCUGCCCUUUGUACACACCGCCCGUCGCUCCUACCGAUUGGGUGUGCUGGUGAAAUGUUCGGAUCGGCCGUUUGUCGCGGUUUCCGCGUCAUGUGGCUGAGAAGUUCAUUAAACCCUCCCACCUAGAGGAAGGAGAAGUCGUAACA
Molecule: ribosomal RNA, 326 nt
Filed under: uncultured eukaryote
Lineage: Eukaryota
Description: partial 18S ribosomal RNA
Rfam family: Eukaryotic small subunit ribosomal RNA
Source: RNAcentral